AGCAGAUCGACACGACUUUGCCAUUGUGAUCCCUCCAGGAGGCACAGAAUGCUUCUGGCAAUUUGCCCACCAGACUGGCUACUUCUAUUUCAGUUAUGAGGUUUUUAUCGGCUUUGUCUAGCAAACCAGCAAAAUCGCUUUGCUUCCGUGCAAGUAUACCUCAACUUUGGAGUCUUCUACGAGGGGCCUGAGAUGGACCACAAAGAGAAGGAAAGAAAACAACUGAACGAUACUCUGGAUGCAAUUGAGGUAAUUGUUCCAUGGGAGAGAAACAUCCAUGGAAACUAAGUUUAAAUUUGGAGGAAAGAUUAGAAUUAGUGGGAAUAAUAUCAUACUAGUGAAAGCUCAUUUGGGUAGAAACCAAACAGGCAAAAAGAUUUGAAGCCUUUAAUUUUGUGACUUGGAGCUCUUGAAAUUCCUCACUUGAUGCCUCUACCAGGCAUCAGCAAAUAAUGGCUCACAGCCUUUUAAUUUAGAUACAAUACACCACUUUUAGUGUACAGUUUAGUGGUUUACAAGGUCCUGCAACCAUUACCAGCAUCUAAUUCCAGAAGUUUCAUCACUCCAAAAAUAAACUGCAUGCCUGUUAUUCACUCUCUGUUCUCCAUGCCCCCCUAGUCCUGGGUAAUCCCUCACUAAUCUAUUUUCUGUUUCUACAGAUUUGCCUCUUCUGUACAUUUCACAUGAGGGGACUCAUACAAUGUGGCCUUUUGUGUUUGGCUUCUUUCAUUGAGCAUGUUUUCAAGGUUCAGCCACAUUGUACCAUGUGUUAGUACUUCAUUCCUUUUUCUGGAUGAAUAAUAUUCUAUUGUAUAUAGGCACUGUAUUUUGUUUCUUAUCAGCUGGUAGGCAUUUGGGUUAUUUCCACUUCUUGGCUAUUAUAAAUAAUGAUGCUGUGAGCACCAGCAUAUAGAUUUUUGUAUGAACAUACUUCUAUUUCUGUACACAUAAAAGUGGUAUACUCUGCUAGUAUGAUAACUUUUUAACUUCAAUGAGGAACUGCUCUUUUCCACUGUGGGUAACACAUUUUACAUCCCACCAGCAGUGUCUGUUGAGAGCUGCAAUUUCUCUAUAUCCUUGCCAAUGUGUUAUUGUCUUUGUUAUAGCAAUCCUAGUGGGUGUAAGUGGUAUCUUGUGGUUUUUGAGUUGUGUCUCCAAUGACUAAUGACACUGAACAUUUUUCCAUGUGUUUUUUGGCCUUUUCUAUAUCUACUUCAGAGAAAUAUCUAUUCAAAUCCUUUGCCCAUCUUAAAAUCUAGUGUUUUUAAAUGGUGGACUUCUAAGAGUCCUUUAUAUAGUCUAGAUAACAGUCCUUUAUCAGAUAUAUGGUUUGCAAAUAUUGAAUUGGCCAAAAAAGCUUGUUCAGGAUUUUCUAGCCUAUCUUCCAGAAAAACUUUUCAGCCAAUACAGUAUUUUAUCCCACUGUUUGGGAUCUCUCUCCACUUUCUUGAUAGUCUCCCUGAUGCACAAAAGCCCAGUUUUUGUAAGUGAGGUUUUACUGGGACAAAACAAUGCUCAUUUGACAAUUACAGUUGGUCCCCCUCUGUAUCUGCAAGUGGAGAAUCUGAAGAUAUGGAGGGCUGACAAUGGGACCAGAGCAUCCUCUGCAGGUCCUGGGACCAACCUCCCUGAAGAUACUGGGGGACAGCUAACUGGGCACAUGUCCGUGGCUGUUUUUGUGCCACAGUGGCAGAGUUUAGUAACCACAACAGAGACUGUAUGGCUUUCAAAGCCUAGAAUAUUUACUGUCUGGCCCUUCAGUAAAAAAUUUGCAGGCUCUUAUCUUCUACCAUAUACAAAGAACAGAAGACACUGCCCAGAACAUCACUGAUGUGCUGAGUAUAUGUCUACAUCUAGACACACUCUGGAAGAGCUUUCUGGUUUCAGCACUGAAGUUUUUCAUUGUAAAAAUUAUUUUUUAAAAACUGAAGUCCAAGUAAUUUUUUCAUAUACAACAAAACUAGCCAUUUACCAACAACUCCAAUAGCCCUUGUUUUUUUUGUUCUGCACCCUCAAUAGCCAACUUUUACAUAUCAUAAAAUCACGUGAAUAUAGGAGGUUAGUGCUGGUGGGUA
RNA transcript from Bubalus bubalis (water buffalo), 2075 nucleotides. It is a transcript of the gene named transmembrane p24 trafficking protein 6, with no coding region annotated. The record is from RefSeq and is a predicted model, not a curated record. NCBI's taxonomy places the organism in Eukaryota, Metazoa, Chordata, Mammalia, Artiodactyla, Bovidae. The transcript is spliced from 2 exons.